CGUGAAGUUCGCAAAUUUUGUAGAUAUUUGCAUUACACGCGGGAAAAAAAUAACCAUUUUUGAGAGGAAAGUGGUUAUUUUUACCGCGCGUAAAUGCGUAAUACAAAUAUAUACAAAAUUUGCGAACUUUACA
Paramuricea clavata is the source of this 133-nucleotide non-coding RNA. The record is from the annotation of a GenBank genome assembly. Lineage: Eukaryota; Metazoa; Cnidaria; Anthozoa; Malacalcyonacea; Plexauridae.